GGGGUUCAGUCUGCCGCUGCAAAUACCAAAAGCUGUCCUCAUUGAGUCAUCCCUCCCAGAGCAGGAAGAGCAGAGGUUCUGGGAAACAACCCCAAGGAGAGAGACAGGGCAUUUAUAAAACAGCAUGUAAGCAUCUCUGCAGUUGCUGUCCCCAGAGCCCACUUCCUGGAUAUUGCCAGCUGCCUGGACCAACCUUUCCGAAAGAUCAGCCAGGUCACAGUGAGGGUCAAAGCAGGAGGCCACUGGAGGCUCCAAGGGCUCUGAAAUGUUGAGAACUUCCCUGCAGGUACCAGCGAAGAGGGCAAGAACACAGCACUACUUCCUUGGAUACUGUUUCCCUCCUCAGAGGGGUUUUCUGAGCUGCCCUGGGUCCUGUGAGGAAGAUCUCCCCUUCCUGUAAAGACACCAGUCCUACUGGAUCAGGGCCCACCCGUGUGACUUCACUUUUACUUGAGUACCUCUCACAGACCCUAACUCCAAAUCAGGUCACUUGCUGAGGUACUGCAUGUGAAGACUUUGACAUUUGAAUUUUGAGGGGGCCACCGUUUAACCUGAACCACCAAGGACAGAGCCAAAGACCCUGGGUGACAGGCCCAGAACAGGACCUGGUGGAGGCUCUUCUUUAGGGGAGAGAGGGAAAUGGGAGCCACCACUGGCAGAGCCUGAAGGCAGGGCAGCCAGAAAGAAGCUGUGGGAGUCCCCACCAUGGAAGACCCUGCCGAGCAUCCUGUGUCUCCUGAAGCAGACCCUGACAUGAGGACUGGGGGCACGUGUUUAUUAAGGGCGAUCCCCGGAAGGAGGAGAUAACCAGGCAGAAGUCCUAGCAGAGUAUGCCCACGCUGGUUAGUGCUGCUGCAAAGAUGAGCCGAAGACCAUGAGAGACCUCCAGGUGGUCCUUCUGGGGAGAAGAAAUGGGUUUUGGCCCCAAAUCCUUCUGCUGCAUUUUUCCCCUAUCCCUGGGAAGCCAUGAGACCUCAAACCUGUGUUCCCAAGGAGGCGAGCUGCUGUUCCCAGGUGAUGAUAUGAUGUGCUUGGGGAAAGUAAGUGGCUGCCAGACAUGGCUGAGAGCUGUUGUCACUGCCGUCAAGUGCAUGUCUCCAAGCCAUAUCACACGGCGUCCCUCGAUGUGAGGCCACAUGGCAAGUGGGCCGUGGAUCUCCCUCUGCCCUUUGCAAGCACGUAAGACAGCAGAUUUUGCAGAUACCUUGUGGCGCAGGGGAAUUUCCUUUGGCCAGGUCUGAAGAAAUAAAGCAGCAGGCACCGAGAACAAAGCCAAGGCUUUCAAAAGACAAGGAGCCAAAAAACUUACUCAAAAUAAAAGUAGUUUUAAAAUGUC
This 1336-nucleotide long non-coding RNA is filed under the name Homo sapiens (human). RNAcentral's name for it is "HSALNT0400210". Lineage: Eukaryota; Metazoa; Chordata; Mammalia; Primates; Hominidae. The record is from RNAcentral.